This 2120-nucleotide long non-coding RNA is filed under the name Nilaparvata lugens (brown planthopper). Its description in RNAcentral is "uncharacterized LOC111050552". Lineage: Eukaryota; Metazoa; Arthropoda; Insecta; Hemiptera; Delphacidae. The record is from RNAcentral.
UAACUGGUCUAAGGUUAUAUAGAGAAACAAUAGCUUAUGUUGCUAUCGUUCUUCCUACUUGGUGGGUUUAUUCUUAUAAAUAAGACCUUCUUUAGCAGAAGACCAAUCAAACACAAAGACAUAACAUUGAUAAAUUCGUUUAAAACAGAAAGUUGAAACAAUUAAUAGUAUGGUUAGGCUAUUCAUCACUGUACCAGAGAAUAAGAGGCUGAUUGAGCUAUGGUUGAAACUUGCUGCUGGGUCUAUCUUGCUAGUUUAUGGCUGGUGAUCACAGUAUCUGGUGACAAUCAACUUAAAAUCAGGUAGAAAGAUUCAAGAAGUCCAAUCGCAAAAUAUGAUGAUGAGUUUGAUCAUGAUGUUCUCUACCUGGGGAUGAACAACUUGCCCUUGAGUGAGAGAGGCCAGUAACUAUUGCAGAGCGGAUGAUCAAGCUAGUGAAGAAAAUCCACCACAAGCCCAAUAGUGCUAUAAUUAACAUGUGCAUCAUUCUGCCAAGGAGUGAGAACAGUUUCAAAAUUUUUGCGGAAGUGAUGAAGAAAGAAUAGACUUCUGGAAUGGCAAAGCAACCGCGACGAAAGUCAUGUAUUGACAAUUGUGUAAAAGGUAUUAGUUUGAAGCAUUCAAUUUCAAUAAUUUAAUCUAUACCACUAUGAAAAUGAGAUGGCAUCUGUAGUUUGUCGAGGUGUUCGUUAUGCCUAAAUGGUAUGUGACAUUUUGCCCAAAGAUGGUUUAUAUAACCGAUGACUGUCAUUGACCUAUUUUUGUUAAGAAAAUCCUUUAAGCCGUUGUCUACACUGAACAAAUGUUUGACAUACAUGUUAAACAAAAAAAUACUGUUUUUCCAAACAUUUUCAGUAUUCACAGCUGUAAAACAUAAAACCUGUUCUUCCCACUUACAAAUAUUUUGUUUGGUGAUGCGUCCACACUGGCCAUGGGCAAACAUUGUUUGUCAAACAUAAUAAAAUUUGCCCAAACUUUUUCAACAAACAUGUUUGUAGAACAUUUGUUCAGUGUGGACACGGCUUAAAGGAUAAGCCCUACUGUCUUCAAAGUUUACAUGUUAUUUUUAUGGAGGAAGUUUUUAUUUUGUUUAUUAUGUCACAUGUGUGUAUUUAACAAAUUAGCUGUUCUAAUUAUUACAUCUAACACCCUUUGGUAGUCAUCAUGUUAAACAUCCACAUGUUUACUUGAAAAGGUGAUUUUGGUAACAUUGGUUUUGGAUGAUUGGUGUAGAAUAAAAUUACACAUGACACAAACAUUUCACUGUUACAAAAAUGGACUGUAUUAUGCAAGAAGAUCAAUGAAACAAAAGAUCUUAAUAUUACGAGUGUUUCACACUUUCACUCAUUAUGCGAGAAGAUCAAUGAAAACAAAAGAUCUUAAUAUUACGAGUGUUUCACACUUUCACUCAAAAAUAGUCAAAUUGUCUGUACUUCAUAGUUCACAACUCAUCACCAACUCACCAACCCCAGUUCAUGCAUAGGCAGCAUGGCCAGAUGGGGUUUACACAGGAAACUCAUAACAGAGCCCUCACAAAAUGAUACAAAAUGGCGAUAACAUACCCCCCACCUAGAAGGUAUGCCUCCUAAAUAGAAAAAAAAAUAAUUUGAAAAAUAUACAAAGAAAAAAAUAUACAUAAGCAGUAAAAAGUUGAAUCAAUUGUUAGGAAAUGGUAAUAAACACAAUUUGUUUACUGGUCUUUUGAAUUCCCCAUUGGUGGUUUUUACUGUAGCUACUCUAACACAAUUAUCACGUCGCUGGCCCAGUUCAACAGUGCUACAACUCAAAAAUCCAAGUUUUGAGAAAAAGGCAAUUUAAUGUUUCAAAUUAUUACUGUGAAUUAUGUAUUGCUUCUGGAGGGUUGAUUUCUUCCAAGUAGAAGUAUAAUGUUCAUAAUUACCACUCGGUAAUCUUACAACAUUGAUUUAAUUAUUAUUUGUUGAGAUAAUUGUCAUUUUUUGAGUUAGUGUUGUUUAGAAUUGGUUAAUUUUCCAACUUGACAUGCAUAUUUCUUACUUGAAGCUUUAUUCCCCUUAAUUUCUCAACUCAUUGAUGGAUGUAAUUUAUGUAUUUAAGCCAUUUCACAUUUACCAUACAGUAAAAUACAACUCCAAAAAUUG